Molecule: transfer RNA, 73 nt
Filed under: Spirochaetes bacterium GWB1_27_13
Lineage: Bacteria; Pseudomonadati; Spirochaetota
Also listed under: 1 other name
Description: tRNA-Met
Rfam family: tRNA
About the family: Transfer RNA (tRNA) molecules are approximately 80 nucleotides in length. Their secondary structure includes four short double-helical elements and three loops (D, anti-codon, and T loops). Further hydrogen bonds mediate the characteristic L-shaped molecular structure. tRNAs have two regions of fundamental functional importance: the anti-codon, which is responsible for specific mRNA codon recognition, and the 3' end, to which the tRNAs corresponding amino acid is attached (by aminoacyl-tRNA synthetases). tRNAs cope with the degeneracy of the genetic code in two manners: having more than one tRNA (with a specific anti-codon) for a particular amino acid; and 'wobble' base-pairing, i.e. permitting non-standard base-pairing at the 3rd anti-codon position.
Source: RNAcentral
CGCAGGAUAGAGCAGUUGGUAGCUCGUCGGGCUCAUAACCCGAAGGUCGCUCGUUCGAGUCGAGCUCCUGCUA